AGGUCGGUAAGGGUUUGUAAGAAUUUCAUCUAUUUUUCCGUUUUUUUUUCAGUUAUCAUCUUCUUUGUUCGUUAUCACCUCCAUCAUUGAGUCAAACUCUUACUUUCGGUGGUUAUCAUGUUAAGGCAGGCGGUGGAGUGGGGCAAUAGAGUCAAAGCUUUCUUUUUAUCGGCGUCUAGAGAGAUAUCUCUAUCUACCACCGUUCGGAGUUGGCUUUUUGUGGUCUCUUCACCAGAGAGAUUUGCUACUCGGGAGAAGCUCUAUCAGUUUCGCGAGCUGAGAAAGUUGAUGCGUUGGAAUUGGCUUGUGCAAUCUAAGAACGACGUCAGCGCGUGGAUCUUCUAUGACGUUCGGUUGAUGGUUGCACUUCUUCUUGACAUAUAGCUCACGGCAAUAAAGAGGUGGAAAUAUUUGGAGGCGGACAGGCAGUUGACGGUAUUCUUUGGCUUCACGACGGCACUGAUCUACCUCCUAUCUUUGCUUCCUUAUCCAUAGAGAUUGGAGAUUUCUCAAGUAUGGAUCUUCGGUAGCCUCCUUUUUCUCCUUUUUCUUUAGAGGUGCCAAAGAUCUUUCUCUGUCAGUGGUUGUUCUGAUGGAUAAGGAAGAUUCAGAGUUCAUUAUUGGUGGACUAUUACUCUACUAGUAUCUGACAACCACAAAUAUUGGGUCCGAAGCUACGGGGUAUGCGGCUUGGUUGUGUAUCCUUCAGAAGUGUAGUUGGAUUCUUUUGGGUGAACUUUUUGUCCAAGUUAUCUGUUGUAAGUUGUAACCAUUAUUGAUUUCCAUUUGGAUUGAUAAAUUAAAAAAAAUGGUGUACACUAUCUCACUUGUUUUGAGUAGAGUAAACAUUUCC
Molecule: long non-coding RNA, 853 nt
Filed under: Brassica rapa (field mustard)
Lineage: Eukaryota; Viridiplantae; Streptophyta; Magnoliopsida; Brassicales; Brassicaceae
Description: long non-coding RNA (BRAP_LNC001857)
Source: RNAcentral